This 508-nucleotide ribosomal RNA is filed under the name Anachauliodes laboissierei. RNAcentral's name for it is "partial 16S ribosomal RNA". It matches the Rfam family "Bacterial large subunit ribosomal RNA", at positions 1831 to 2594 of the family's 2925-position model. The record is from RNAcentral. Lineage: Eukaryota; Metazoa; Arthropoda; Insecta; Megaloptera; Corydalidae.
GUCUUUUUGAAUAUAAUUUAAAGUCUAACCUGCCCACUGAAUUUUUUAAAGGGCCGCGGUAUUUUGACUGUGCAAAGGUAGCAUAAUCAUUAGUCUUUUAAUUGAAGGCUUGUAUGAAUGGUUGGAUGAGGUAAUAACUGUCUCAAAUUAAUAAAUAAUAAAAUUUUAUUUUUAAGUUAAAAAGCUUAAAUAUAAUUAAAGGACGAGAAGACCCUAUAGAUCUUUAUAAAUUAAUAAUUUUAAAUUUUUUAGUUAAAAUAUGUUUUUAUUCAUUGAUUUAUUUUAUUGGGGUGAUGAAAAAAUUUAAAAAACUUUUUUUUUAGCUAAACAAUGAUUUUUGAUUAAUUGAUCCAUUAUUAAUGAUUAAAAGAUUAAGUUACCUUAGGGAUAACAGCGUAAUUUUUUUGAAGAGUUCAUAUCGAUAAAAAAGAUUGCGACCUCGAUGUUGAAUUAAAGGUUAAUUUUAGGUGUAGAAGUUUAAAGUUUUGGUCUGUUCGACCAUUAAAUC